Molecule: long non-coding RNA, 345 nt
Organism: Hyla sarda
Lineage: Eukaryota; Metazoa; Chordata; Amphibia; Anura; Hylidae
Exons: 3
Source: RefSeq, a predicted model, not a curated record
GAUAAGACGCAUUGAAUCCUCUCCCAGAAAUAGAGGCAUCAGACUCGAAAUACAAGAACAUGGCGUCUCCGGAUGAUCGAAUUGGUCCAGGAACCUCCCGGCCACAGAUGGUGUUAAUUGAGUUUUAACACUUACAAUGGGAAAAAGUGGCUUGAAACCCAGUGGCGCUGCCAGAACCAUCGGACACAAACUUUACCCAAAGAAUAUGGCCGACGAUAGAGUUUUCCUGCCAGAUGCUCCAUUUCCUUCCCGGAUGGUGAUUAGAAUGAAAACAAUAUGAAGCGAGAAGAGGUUUACAUGAAAGACAGCAUGAGCCGGUUGCCAGGAGAGCUGAGAAUGCUCCAG